GACGAACGCUGGCGGCGUGCUUAACACAUGCAAGUCGAACGAUGAAGCCGGAGCUUGCUCCGGUAGAUUAGUGGCGGACGGGUGAGUAACACGUGAGCAAUCUGCCCUUGGCUCUGGGAUAACUGCGGGAACCUGUAGCUAAUACCGGAUACGACACCUUGGGGCAUCCCAGGGUGUGGAAAGAAUUUCGGUCAAGGAUGAGCUCGCGGCCUAUCAGCUAGUUGGUGAGGUAAUGGCUCACCAAGGCGACGACGGGUAGCCGGCCUGAGAGGGUGACCGGCCACACUGGAACUGAGACACGGUCCAGACUCCUACGGGAGGCAGCAGUGGGGAAUAUUGCACAAUGGGCGAAAGCCUGAUGCAGCAACGCCGCGUGAGGGAUGAAGGCCUUCGGGUUGUAAACCUCUUUUAGCAGGGAAGAAGCGAAAGUGACGGUACCUGCAGAAAAAGCACCGGCUAACUACGUACCAGCCGCCGCCGUAA
Molecule: ribosomal RNA, 483 nt
Filed under: uncultured bacterium
Lineage: Bacteria
Description: partial 16S ribosomal RNA
Rfam family: Bacterial small subunit ribosomal RNA
Source: RNAcentral